CGCCAGACUCCUACGGGAGGCAGCAGUGGGGAAUAUUGGGCAAUGGAGGAAACUCUUACCCAGCAAUGCCGCGUGAAUGAAGAAGGUCUUCGGAUUGUAAAGUUCUUUAAUUGGGGACGAAAAAAAUGACGGUACCCAAGGAAUAAGCCCCGGCUAACUACGUGCCAGCAGCCGCGGUAAUACGUAGGGGGCAAGCGUUAUCCGGAUUUACUGGGUGUAAAGGGAGCGUAGACGGCGGCGCAAGUCCGGAGUGAAAGCCCACGGCCCAACCGUGGGACUGCUCUGGAAACUGUGCGGCUUGAGUGCGGGAGGGGCAGGCGGAAUUCCUAGUGUAGCGGUGAAAUGCGUAGAUAUUAGGAGGAACACCGGCGGCGAAGGCGGCCUGCUGGACCGUAACUGACGUUGAGGCUCGAAAGCGUGGGGAGCAAACAGGAUUAGAUACCCCAGUAA
Molecule: ribosomal RNA, 450 nt
Filed under: uncultured bacterium
Lineage: Bacteria
Description: partial 16S ribosomal RNA
Rfam family: Bacterial small subunit ribosomal RNA
Source: RNAcentral